GAUGAAGCAUUUCGGUGUGUAAACCCCUGUUGCUCGGGACGAACAAGCCUUUUCGAGGGCUCUGACGGUACCGAGUGAGGAAGCACCGGCUAACUCCGUGCCAGCAGCCGCGGUAAUACGGAGGGUGCGAGCGUUGUCCGGAAUCACUGGGCGUAAAGGGCGCGUAGGCGGUCUGCUAAGCGUGUGGUGAAAGCUCGGGGCUCAACCCCGAGUCGGCCAUGCGAACUGGUGGACUAGAGCACUGUAGAGGCAGGUGGAAUUCCGGGUGUAGCGGUGGAAUGCGUAGAGAUCCGGAAGAACACCGGUGGCGAAGGCGGCCUGCUGGGCAGUAGCUGACGCUGAGGCGCGACAGCGUGGGGAGCAAACAGGAUUAGAUACCCUGGUAGUCCACGCCGU
This 396-nucleotide ribosomal RNA is filed under the name uncultured beta proteobacterium. RNAcentral describes it as "bacterial SSU rRNA". It matches the Rfam family "Bacterial small subunit ribosomal RNA", at positions 407 to 803 of the family's 1533-position model. The record is from RNAcentral. Lineage: Bacteria; Pseudomonadati; Pseudomonadota; Betaproteobacteria.